UAAAAAGUGACCUCUGUCCUACCAUAAGC
This 29-nucleotide non-coding RNA is filed under the name Mus musculus (house mouse). Lineage: Eukaryota; Metazoa; Chordata; Mammalia; Rodentia; Muridae. The record is from RNAcentral.